This is a non-coding RNA of Cricetulus griseus (Chinese hamster), 66 nucleotides long. The record is from Rfam. NCBI's taxonomy places the organism in Eukaryota, Metazoa, Chordata, Mammalia, Rodentia, Cricetidae.
GUGGUACUCAAACUAUGGGAGCCCUUUUUGCUCUGGAAUAAAGUGUUGCCAGGUUUUGAGCGCUGC